Molecule: ribosomal RNA, 264 nt
Filed under: uncultured bacterium
Lineage: Bacteria
Description: partial 16S ribosomal RNA
Source: RNAcentral
CUGCUGCCUCCCGUAGGAGUUUGGACCGUGUCUCAGUUCCAAUGUGGGGGACCUUCCUCUCAGAACCCCUAUCCAUCGAUGCCUUGGUGGGCCGUUACCCGCCAACAAGCUAAUGGAACGCAUCCCCAUCGAUGACCGAAAUUCUUUAAUAGUUCUACCAUGCGGAAGAACUAUGCCAUCGGGUAUUAAUCUUUCUUUCGAAAGGCUAUCCCCGAGUCAUCGGCAGGUUGGAUACGUGUUACUCACCCGUGCGCCGGUCGCCAU